This 253-nucleotide ribosomal RNA is filed under the name uncultured bacterium. RNAcentral's name for it is "partial 16S ribosomal RNA". It matches the Rfam family "Bacterial small subunit ribosomal RNA", at positions 524 to 776 of the family's 1533-position model. The record is from RNAcentral.
UACGGAGGGUGCAAGCGUUAUCCGGAUUCACUGGGUUUAAAGGGUGCGUAGGCGGCCUGUUAAGUCAGGGGUGAAAGACGGUAGCUCAACUAUCGCAGUGCCCUUGAUACUGAUGGGCUUGAAUGUACUUGAGGUAGGCGGAAUGUGACAAGUAGCGGUGAAAUGCAUAGAUAUGUCACAGAACACCAAUUGCGAAGGCAGCUUACUAAGGUAUGAUUGACGCUGAGGCACGAAAGCGUGGGGAUCAAACAGG